Molecule: ribosomal RNA, 477 nt
Filed under: uncultured bacterium
Lineage: Bacteria
Description: partial 16S ribosomal RNA
Rfam family: Bacterial small subunit ribosomal RNA
Source: RNAcentral
GAUUAACGCUGGCGGCGUGCAUAACACAUGCAAGUCGAACGAUGAAACUUAGUCGACUUCUUCCGAAAGACACUAAGCGGAUUAGUGGCGAACGGGUGAGUAACGCGUGAUUAACCUGCCUUACACAAGUGGAUAGCCUUUUGAAACGAAGAAUAAUACCCUAUAAAACCAUAAAAGCACAUGCUAGAAUGGGCAAAGUGAUAACGGUGUAAGAUGGACUUGCGUCUGAUUAGCUAGUUGGUGAGAUAAAAGCUCACCAAGGCGACGAUCAGUAGCCGGCGUGAGAGAGGGACAGGGGGACUUGGGUAUGAGACACGGCCCAGACUCAUACGGGAGGCAGCAGUGGGGAAUUUGGCACAAAGGGGGGAACCAUGAUGCAGCGACGCCGGGUGAUUGAGAAGGCGUUCGGGUUGUAAAACUCUUUUGUCUAGGCAGAAAAUGACAGUACUAGAAGAAUAAGGUCCGGCUAACUACGUG